UACGUAGGGUGCAAGCGUUAAUCGGAAUUACUGGGCGUAAAGCGUGCGCAGGCGGUUGUGCAAGACAGAUGUGAAAUCCCCGGGCUCAACCUGGGAACUGCAUUUGUGACUGCACGGCUGGAGUGCGGCAGAGGGGGAUGGAAUUCCGCGUGUAGCAGUGAAAUGCGUAGAUAUCGAGAGGAACACCAGUGGCGAAGGCGAGUCCCUGGACAACACCUGACACUGAGGCACGAAAGCUAGGGGAGCAAACAGG
This 253-nucleotide ribosomal RNA is filed under the name uncultured bacterium. RNAcentral's name for it is "partial 16S ribosomal RNA". It matches the Rfam family "Bacterial small subunit ribosomal RNA", at positions 524 to 776 of the family's 1533-position model. The record is from RNAcentral.